CAGACCCCAGAUAUGCCUCAGGGGGCAACAAAUUGCCAAACUUUUCCAAAGUGGCUGCACAAUUUUGCAAUUCCAACAAGAAUGUAUAAGGAUUCAAUUUUUCCACAUCUUCAAUGUGACAUGGCAUUGUUUAUCUUGUAUUUGAAUUUGGUGUUGCUGCUGCUGUCUUUUGUUCAGUGACUUUGAAUUAAUCCUGUAAGUCACCUUUCAGGUAUCAAGGUUGUUAAGAGAUCAGGAAAGCUGCUGAGAUCUGAAAGACAAAGUGUUGCCCUCAGAGUUCCAUGGGGUCACUAAAGGGCUGUGUCAUGAAUGGGGCCAGGGAACCUGAUGGUCACCGAAGCUGCAUGACAGAGCAACCAAUGAUCCUGAAGCUAGUGCUUGCGUGUCCCUGGACCUCAGCUUCCUUAUUCGCUUAAAGACUCUGUGGCCAAGUCUCCACAUUUUUUAAAAUUAUAUUUCUUCUUCUUC
Cervus elaphus (red deer) is the source of this 468-nucleotide long non-coding RNA. RefSeq lists it as uncharacterized. The transcript has 4 exons. Lineage: Eukaryota; Metazoa; Chordata; Mammalia; Artiodactyla; Cervidae. The record is from RefSeq and is a predicted model, not a curated record.